RNAcentral lists this ribosomal RNA (440 nucleotides) under uncultured bacterium. Its description in RNAcentral is "partial 16S ribosomal RNA". It matches the Rfam family "Bacterial small subunit ribosomal RNA", at positions 338 to 795 of the family's 1533-position model. The record is from RNAcentral.
CCUACGGGCGGCAGCAGUGGGGAAUAUUGCACAAUGGGGGAAACCCUGAUGCAGCGACGCCGCGUGAGUGAAGAAGUAUCUCGGUAUGUAAAGCUCUAUCAGCAGGGAAGAAAAUGACGGUACCUGACUAAUAAGCACCGGCUAACUACGUGCCAGCAGCCGCGGUAAUACGUAGGGGGCAAGCGUUAUCCGGAUUUACUGGGUGUAAAGGGAGCGUAGACGGCAGCACAAGUCUGAAGUGAAAUCCUAGGGCUUAACCCCGGAACUGCUUUGGAAACUGUGCGGCUGGAGUGCAGGAGGGGUAGGCGGAAUUCCUGGUGUAGCGGUGAAAUGCGUAGAGAUUAGGAGGAACACCGGUGGCGAAGGCGGCCUACUGGACUGUAACUGACGUUGAGGCUCGAAAGCGUGGGGAGCAAACAGGAUUAGAUACCCCUGUAGUC